RNAcentral lists this unclassified non-coding RNA (785 nucleotides) under Hevea brasiliensis (rubber tree). Lineage: Eukaryota; Viridiplantae; Streptophyta; Magnoliopsida; Malpighiales; Euphorbiaceae. The record is from RNAcentral.
GCAGUUAUCUUCUGUGUUGCAUUGAGUGAUUAUGAUCAAAUGUGGGCCUAUGGUUCAGGUCCUUGUUGUAAUAAAAUGUUGGCAAGCAGAGACAUAUUUGAGACUUUGGUGAGGCACCCCUGUUUCAGGGACGCCCCUUUUGUGCUUUUGUUGAACAAGUAUGAUGCAUUUGAGGACAAGAUUAACCAGGUUCCUUUGUCCACCUGUGAGUGGUUUGGGGAGUUUAGCCCUGUGAGGGCCCAUAACAAUAAUCAGACUCUGGCUCACCAAGCUUACUACUAUGUUGCAGUGAAAUUCAAGGAACUAUAUUAUUCAAUUAGUGGGCGAAAGUUGUUUGUGUGGCAGACCAGAGCUCGGGAGCGUGCCUCAGUUGACAAGGCAUUCAAAUACAUAAGGGAGGUCCUCAAGUGGGAUGACGAAAAGGAUGAUUACACAUAUGGGAUCACUGGGGGUGAUUCAUUUUACAGUACAGAAAUCAGCUCCUCUCCUUAUAUAAGGACGGAGUAAUUGGCUAAUCCUUUAUUUUUUGGCUCUGGGAGAUUGACUGAAAUUUGAUUGAUUGAGGUAAUAAGAUGAGAGAAAUUGAGGUGAUUUAGCUUUUCUCAAGGAUCAUUCUGCUGUGUGAUCUGUUGAUUAGAGUAGGGAUUGGUUUACAAAAAUGCUGAAUCUAAUUUGAGGGUCUUCUUUUGUUUUCUCAUUUUAAUUUUUUGGGGGUUGAGGGAAUUUAUUCAUAUGUAUAGCUUACUCUGUGCACCAUAAAUAAUGCCAGCUUUUGUAAUCAUUUU